This 1501-nucleotide ribosomal RNA is filed under the name metagenome. Its description in RNAcentral is "bacterial SSU rRNA". It matches the Rfam family "Bacterial small subunit ribosomal RNA". The record is from RNAcentral.
AGAGUUUGAUCCUGGCUCAGAACGAACGUUAGCGGCGCGCCUAACACAUGCAAGUCGAACGAGAAAGGGCUUCGGUCCCGGUAUAGUGGCGCAUGGGUGAGUAAUACGUGGAUAAUCUUCCCUCGGGCGGGGGAUAACAUUCCGAAAGGAGUGCUAAUACCGCAUAAGACCACGGAAUCGAAAGAUUCUGCGGUCAAAGAUGGCUUCUUUAUGAAAGCUAUCACCUGAGGAUGAGUCCGCGGCCCAUCAGCUAGUUGGUAGGGUAAUGGCCUACCAAGGUAGAGAUGGGUAGCUGGUCUGAGAGGAUGAUCAGCCACACUGGAACUGAGAUAUGGUCCAGACUCCUACGGGAGGCAGUAGUGGGGAAUUUUGCGCAAUGGGCGAAAGCCUGAUGCAGUGACGCCGCGUGAGUGAUGAAGGCCUUUGGGUUGUAAAGCUCUGUGGGGAGGAACGAAUAAGUCAUGGUUAAUAUUCAUGAUGGUGAUGGUACCUCCUUAGUAAGCACCGGUUAACUCUGUGCCAGUAGUUGUGGUAAGACAGAGGGUGCAAACGUUGUUCGGAAUCACUGGGCGUAAAGCGUGUGUAGGUGGUCUUAAAAGUCGGAUGUGAAAGCCCCGGGUUUAACCCGGGAAGUGCACCCGAUAUUGAAAGACUUGAGUACCGGAGAGGUUGGUGGAAUUCUCGGUGUAGAGGUGAAAUUUGUAGAUAUCGAGAGGAACAUCGGUGGUGAAGGUGGCCAACUGGACGGAUACUGACACUGAGACACGGAAGCGUGGGGAGUAAAUAGGAUUAGAUAUCCUGGUAGUCCACGCUGUAAAUGAUGGGUGCUAGGUGUCACGGGUAUUGAUUCCCGUGGUGCCGUAGUUAAUGUAUUAAGCACCCCGCCUGGGAAGUAUGGCCGUAAGGCUAAAACUCAAAGGAAUUGACGGGGGCCCGCACAAGCGGUGGAGCAUGUGGUUUAAUUCGACGAUGCGAAGAAUUUUACCUGGGCUAGAAAACGCAGGAACCUGGGAGAAAUUUCGGGGUGCCCUUUGGGGAAUCUGUGGUUAGGUGCUGUAUGGCUGUCGUCAGCUCGUGUCGUGAGAUGUUGGGUUAAGUUCCGUAACGAGCGUAACCCCUAUCAUUAGUUACCAGUGGGUUAUGCCGGGAAUUCUAAUGAGACCGCCGAUAUUAAAAUCGGAGGAAGGUGGGGACGACGUUAAGUCAUUAUGGCCCUUAUUUCCAGGGCUACACACGUGCUACAAUGGUCGGUAUAAACCGUUGCAAACCUGUGAAGGUAAGCUAAUUGGAAAAAACCGACCUCAGUACAGAUAAGAGUCUGUAAUUUGACUCUUUGAAGUUGGAAUCGCUAGUAAUCGCUGAUUAGUAGGCAGCGGUGAAUAUGUUCCCGGGCCUUGUACACACCGCCCGUCACACCAUGGGAGUUGAUUGUUUUAGAAGUAUCUGAGCCAACCCGUAAGGGAGGUAGGGUCCCAAGGAGUGAUCGGUAAUUGGGGUGAAG